RNAcentral lists this ribosomal RNA (424 nucleotides) under uncultured bacterium. Its description in RNAcentral is "bacterial SSU rRNA". It matches the Rfam family "Bacterial small subunit ribosomal RNA", at positions 969 to 1392 of the family's 1533-position model. The record is from RNAcentral.
CCUUACCUAGGCUUGAAACGCAGACUAAUCCUGAUGAAAGUCGGAGUGCCGCAAGGCGAGUCUGUACAGGUGCUGCAUGGCUGUCGUCAGCUCGUGCCGUGAGGUGUUGGGUUAAGUCCCGCAACGAGCGCAACCCUCGUUCUUAGUUGCCAUCAGGUAAUGCUGAGCACUCUAAGAAGACUGCCUACGCAAGUAGUGAGGAAGGUGGGGAUGACGUCAAGUCCGCAUGGCCCUUACGCCUAGGGCCACACACGUGCUACAAUGGCCAUUACAAAGGGUUGCGAUACCGCGAGGUGGAGCCAAUCCCUAAAAAAUGGUCUCAGUUCGGAUUGGAGUCUGAAACUCGACUCCAUGAAGCUGGAAUUGCUAGUAAUCGCGCAUCAGCACGGCGCGGUGAAUACGUUCCCGGGUCUUGUACACACCG